UACGGCAUGACCGACGACGAUAGCCUCGCCCACUUCGACAUCGGGUUCAAGUUCCACGGCCUCACCGACGACGUCCACGGUGUUCUCGGCCAGACCUACCGCACCGAUUACGUCAACAAGCUCAGUGUGAGCACCAACAUGCCAAUUAUGGGCGGCACUUCUACCUACGUGACCUCCGAUAUCUUCUCCACCGACUGCAAGGUCGCCCGGUUUGGUCGCUCUUCAGGAAUCUCCAUGGUCACUGGCAUGGCCACUUAAGCACCAUGCCUCGAUGGCUAAGCUCGAAGCUAGUGUCUUAACUUGACAUUCUAGAGUUAGCCAAGGAAUAAGCAACACCUAUCUGGGACAGGUUGUGGUAACACCAUGAUACGCACGAUCAUGUCAUCUUAAUUCUUCACACGUAAGCAUGGUUUGUUCAAUUGAUUAUCAUAUGGAAUAAAAGAGAUUUCAGAAGACAAAAGACUAUGUUGCAUUUGAAACACUUGCCACGUUGAAUCUUUUACAAUUUGACAUGCUCUAAGGCAUGGCCCGAAACACAGUUAAGAAAGAGAUGCAACCCGUUGAACAAUUCACGUAGGAGGAAAAGGUAUUCACGAAAAAAUUGCCAGUAUGUGAUAGAAUAACAAAUUAUUAACGGAGGAAUAUAUUCUUUUGGCGGAGUAAGAGGAAUAUUUGUUUUGACAGUGAUUGCUAUAGAGAAAAAAGGUUACGUUGUGCAAUUGUGAGAUCCACAUCCCUUAAAGGUUUGGGUAGUGAUAUUGGAUAUGCUCGCACAUGAUGAUGGCAAUGCCGCAUGAGGAAUUUGCCCUUCUCUGAUGGUGUAGUUGUGAGGUUGCAUGAAUUCAACUUGCAAACUCAUAAGUUAACAUGGGCGUCGAGAUUCCACCCUUUUCUUGACCCAUCACAGUGGCCAGAGUAUCACAGCCCUAAUAUUAGGCCAGAUCCAGAGAUGAUGGUAGAACCGAAGGAUAGAAGGAGAGCAAAGGAUUCGGGAAUGAUAUGGAUGACCUCAUGAGCAGUAGAGAGUUUGGUAGUGGACAUUUCAUGGAGCCACGUGAUAGGACCCAAUGCGGUGAUUGCAAUGGAACGUCACACAAUAAGAGAACAUGCAAAACAAAGAAAACUUCAAAAGGUCACAAUGCAUCUACUAGUGAUGUGGGUGGCAGAGGUGGUUCAAGUGCUGGUGGUGAAGGCAGUUCAUGUGGUGGCCUUGCUGUGGGCCGAGGAUUCGGCGGUGGUAGAUGUGGUGGUUCAACUGGUAGCCUUGCUGUGGGCCGAGUAUUCGGCGGUGGUAGACGUGGUGGUUCAAGUGGUGGCCUUGCUGUGGACCGAGAAUCUGGCGGUGGUAGACGUGGUCGUUCAAGUGCUCGUGGUAGUGCUGGUCGUAGAGGAGGUUUUUUGGGUAGAGGUUUGGCUGGUGGUAGAGGAAUGUCCGGAUACCUACAAGGACUAUUUUCGUAAGUUUGAUAUAUUUCAUUAUUAUUGUCAUGUUGUACAUUUUCUUUACUAACUAAUGUCUUGUAUUUUUUUGUAGGUAUGGCGUCUUCUCAACCCAACAAAAGAAACAAUGAAGGGGGUGGAGGACACGGAGGGGGGAGGUGAGAUGUCGGGGUGGUGGGACAAGGCUGUCAAGAAGGUCAGAGAGGAGGUGGCAGCCGCUCUAGCGAAGAAGAAGCAAGAGGAAUACAAAGCAAAGCAAAAGGAGGAAUGGUUAAUGUUUCAACGUGGCCGUGAUAUGGAGAAGGCGCUGCAUAAAAAGAUAAAGAUGGCUGAAGAGAAACGGAUGAAGGAUUUUCGAGAGAACACUGCGAAACUUUGGGCUGAACAUGCGGCAAAGAAAGAGAGGGAGCACAAGCGCUUCAUAGAGAAGGUGGUUCACGAGGCAAGUCUCAUAAGGAAAAGGGAGGAGGAAGAAGAAGAAGAAGAGAGGAAGAAGAAGAAGGGAAAGGGACUUGGCCCUUGCUCUACACAAUAGAGCUAUGUCGUUGUCAUCAUGUGCACUCUAAAUCAUCAUGUGCACUCUAAAUCGUUAUGGGAACUUUGAACUUUAAUUUAGUAUUUCAUAUCUAUGUGCACUCUAAAUCGCUAUGGGAACUCUAUUGUGUGUACUCUUAGUCGCUAUGUGAUGUUUGAACUUUAAUUGCUAAGAAUCUAUGUGAUGUUUGUACUUUAUAUGGGCUAUGUGAUGUGUGUACUCUUUGUAGAUUAGCAAUACUUUUUAUGUAAUGUGUAUACUAUAUGAACCUUAUAUCCCAUAUUACAUUUAUCAAGGAAAAUGUAUAGUUGCAAAAGCCUCUAUGUGAAACGCCAGCCUUGUUUGAAUAUAAUUACAAACAAUGGCUUUUCCACGGCCGGUUAUAUGGUUAGAUUCAUGUCAUCAUGUAAGAACAUGUCAUCUUUUGUAAAGCAUUCAACUUGAUGAUCACGACUAAUUAAAUUUCCACAAUAUCUUCAGGUUACAAACAUAAUUUGUCAUCAUGAUAUGAUAUUAAGAUAAAUCAGUAAAAUGAAAAAUCUAACAAAAGGAAAGGACAAUAACCAUAAUAAGUUUUUUUACUAUGAAAAUAAUUACCUUGGUUAUCAUUUGUGUUGGCCUUCUGCACAUCAUUUUUCUUAUAGAAGUUGGUGAAUUUUUGGCCGGUCCAAAAACAUGAGAUAUGUCCAUGGGCGUAGGUGCAGGGAGUGAUUUGAUGUGUGUGUUUGUUGUAUGGAGCGUGUUUUAUCUUUGACAUUGAUUUGGUAUGGAAUUCUCAAUUAUUUGGGUACGCACAGGAGACGGCAUACCGUUUAUCAUUUAUGUUCAUUUGGUAAAUGUGUUCAAUUGUUUUGGUGAAUGUUAGGAGGACGUGCCAUUUAUCAUUUAUGUUCAUUUGAUAAGUUUGCUCGAUUGUUUGGAACGCUUAAUUAUUUGAUAAGUGUGGAUAAGACGUACUCCCUCAGUAAUGAAAUAUUAGAACAUUAUAUCACUAUAAACGCUCUUAUAUUUCUUUAUAAAGGAAGUGCCAUUUAGCAUUUAUGUUCACUAGUUAAAUUCAUUUUCUUUUGGUAAGUGCGAGACAGCGCAUGAUGUACCCAAUCAUUGAUAAAGUAAGAGCAUCUCUAGCAAAUCGAGUAAAAUGCUCGAAACUGCAAAAUAACAGCAGUGUUACAAUUUUGGAUGAAAAUACACGUGAAUUACAGAUAACACAAAACGGCGUCUUCCCAAAAAACUUAUGCAACUCCCGCUAAAAAAUGCCUAUGUGCCCUACAUACACAGUUUUGGACGCAUGUUUACAAUGACCUGGAAACCAGAAAAACGGUUGGCGGGAGGGAACUUUUAGCUUCUGGGCCUUCAAUCCUCCCCACCGCCGACAUUAGGAGGUCGAUUCGGACCAUCCCUGCCGCCGCCAACAAGAUAAGCGAACCGGGAUGACCUCGUCGGUCUGCUUCUUCUCGCACGCUCAAUCCUCGGCACCGGGAGAAAGAGGCGGGGCGGUGUCGGGUUCCUUGAGGCCACUGACGCUGGAGGCGAGGCUGCUGCCCCGCUUGUCGACGUAGCCGCUGCUACUGGGGAUGGGAGGGCCGGCAUCAUCGUAGUAAUCCUCUUCUUCCAUGAGCCCUUUGAACUUCCCCUUCCUUUAGGAUGCGGCCAUGCUGCUCCUGGCCUUGGAUACGACUGUCACAUACCCCUCGCCCUAGUCCUCCUCGGCGAACUCAUGGCCGGCGGCACGGAGCGAGAGCAUGGCUAGGGCCUUGCUGGCAGGGAUCUCGACAAACGAUCAAUGGCAGUGGAGGGGAAUGGGACUAGUGGGGGAGAGGGAGGAGGCAGACCUAAUUGCAAUUUGUUUUUUGUUUCGAGGGUGCUUUGCGCUAUUCUUUAGGGACCCUGUUGUAAAUUUAACUAUUGAUGAGCGGGCUCCAAGUUUUGGCUGAAUCGUUUUUUAUGAGAUUUGUUCUGCCAAAGCACACAUCAUACAUUCAUAUCCAGUUUAUAGUGCGAGAUCAGAAGUGCGAGAUCAAACCCGUAGAUUAGUCGACGUUAGUGUGGGCUCUUUGGCGUGCCAGUGACCCAGAAGCUCGGGUUAGACGGCAAAACACGUUUAGAUCACACGGUCCAUCCGUGCAGGAGAGGCAACUCUUGAAGUGUUACUACUUAUGUCUGAUCAAGAUCUAUGUAUGUUGGGUUGCCAGAACGGAAGAGAGUUGAUUGCUAUUACCAUGGUAUCUAUGGUGGAAUAGAAGGAAGCUUGUUCUUGAGGGGAAUUCGGAAGAGGCGUCUCGAACCUCGACGGGGAUACGGUCUAUAGUGGCAAAUUACAUAAACGCCCAAUUACCAAAGGCGAAGGAGAAGAGGGGAGGAUGGAGUAGACCUCCAAAGGGGUUUGUUAAAUUAAAUGUCGUUGCUUCUUUUGAUCACGAUCAACUAAGAGGCACAACAGGUGUUGUUAUGAGGGAUGACAAACGAAACUUCAUUGUAGGAUGCCCUAGCCGCGGAAGCGUCAGCACCUAGGUUUGGCCUUUUGUUGGCACAAAAAGAAAGAUGCAAUCGGCUUACUAUCAAUUCUGACAAUAUGGAAGUAACUGAAACAAUAAACAAAGGAGGAUACUCUGCAGGAGAGGCAGCUGCAAUUUUCGAUGGUUGUUUGUUUAUAGCUUGUGGUUUUUCUUUUACUACGUUUGAGUAUUGUAAUAGAGAAGCGAACAAGUUAGGUCAUGAACUCGCGAGAAUAGCAAAAAUUUAUGGUGCGAUGGACUGGAUUGAGCCUCUCUAAAAUAUUGUAUCUAUUCUUAUAGACAAUUUAACAAUUAUUUCAAAUUAAUAAAGUUGAUGAUGUUUUUCAAAAAUAGAUCACACGGUCCAAAUGUAUGGAGCGGUCCAAAUGUAUGGGGCCAUUUGAGAAGAUGCCAUUAGUCGUGUACUCAUGUGCCGUCGCACGCACAAAAAGCUAGCUGCAGGCCGUGCACGCACGCAGCACGCGUUUGAAGCGAUGCCCAGCCGCUUUACGUACGUAGUGUGCAUGUCAGGUCAGGUCAGGAUAGGUCGCUCCGUCCCAACGCAGGGAAUCACGCAGCCGAGCAUUUCUCGGUACGUACGCAGGAUAUCAUUCUGUUGUCCCAUGCAGAUGCUUCGUUCACCAGUCACCACGGCGUACGCACGCCGGCCGCCUCCUACGCCUGCGCAGCCGGCCAUGGCAUGCACCACGUCAACGACUCUUCCCUCUCUUCGUGCACCCUUUGCCCGCCCCGCUCCCGCCCUAUAAAUUUCCACGCCACACACCGAUCACUUCCACCCAGAGCUAGCUAGCCACACCCACACUUGAUCCUCAGCACUGCUAGGUGAAGCAACCUAGCUAGCAAUGGCGAGGGCAUCGUCGUUGUUGUCCAUGGGAAGUGUGGUCGCCGCGGUGGUCGUGCUGGUGGUCCUGUGCGCCGCCGUGCCGGCCGCCGGUCAGGGCAAGAAGGGGCCUCCGGCUCCAAAGCUGCCGUCCAACUUCAAGACGAUCCACCCGGGGCGGUUCGGGAAGAGGAACCAGGUGCUCUCCUGCGACGACACCAAGGACGGGAACAGCCCCUGCGUCGCCACCUGCGACAAGCGCUGCCCCAACGAGUGCAUCGUCAUGUGCCCAGGCUGCAAGACCUACUGCAGUAAGCACACCUACUCCAAUAUCCUUGUUGUUAAAUCCCGUAGCUAUAUGAUCUGCCGACCCACAUCAACUUAGAAUGAGAUGCCUAAAGAAAUUGCAUUGUUUUUUUCAAGUGUGCGACUUCUACCCCGGCGUGUCCUGCGGUGACCCCCGCUUCACCGGCGCCGACGGCAACAACUUCUACUUCCACGGCAAGAAGGACCAGAGCUUCUGCGUCGUCUCCGACACCGACCUCCACAUCAACGCCCACUUCAUCGGCAAGCGUAACCCUACCAUGAGCCGAGACUUCACCUGGAUCCAGGCCCUCGGCAUCCGCUUCGCCGACCACCGCCUUUACAUGGGCGCCCAGAAGACCGUCGGGUGGGACAGCGACGUCGACCGCCUUGAGCUGGCCUUUGACGGCAUGCCCAUCGACAUCCCCACCGAGGUCGACGCCGAGUGGCAGUCCAGCAUUGUGCCCGCCUUGAUCGUCACGAGGACCUCCGCGACCAAUGGCGUCAGGGUCCAGCUCGAGGGAGUGUUUGACAUCUUGGCCAAUGUGGUGCCCAUCACGGAGAAGGACUCCCGCAUCCACAACUACGGCGUGACGGAGGAUGAUAGCCUUGCGCACUUCGACAUGGGGUUCAAGUUCCACGGCCUCACCGACGACGUCCACGGCGUGCUCGGCCAAACCUACCGCACGGACUACGUCAACAAGCUCAGCGUGAGUGCCAACAUGCCCAUCAUGGGAGGCGCCGCCAGCUACGUUUCCUCCGACAUCUUCUCCACCGACUGCAAGGUCGCCAGGUUCGGCCGUGCCCACGGCGGAAUCUCCAUGGUCACCACCAGGGCCAACUAAACACCCGGAUCGACGACUAUCUCUCAAGACAUUUAAGACUUAACCCAGGAAUAAACAAUACAGAUUUAUAAGAUACUGAUGAUAUGCCACCAAAGACACACAUGAUCAUGUCCUUUGGAUACUGCAAAUGGCGAAAUGAAAUAAGUUUAUAACCGAAGAAUAUGUCCUGGUUGAAGUCUUUUAUAUGUGGAAUCUUUUUGUUACCCUAUGUAUAAUAUAUAAUAUGCAGCU
This 6693-nucleotide long non-coding RNA is filed under the name Hordeum vulgare. RNAcentral's name for it is "long non-coding RNA (HVUL_LNC008337)". The record is from RNAcentral. Lineage: Eukaryota; Viridiplantae; Streptophyta; Magnoliopsida; Poales; Poaceae.